This 498-nucleotide ribosomal RNA is filed under the name uncultured bacterium. Its description in RNAcentral is "partial 16S ribosomal RNA". It matches the Rfam family "Bacterial small subunit ribosomal RNA", at positions 28 to 507 of the family's 1533-position model. The record is from RNAcentral.
GACGAACGCUGGCGGCGUGCCUAAUACAUGCAAGUCGAACGAGAGCGACCGGUGCUUGCACUGGUCAAUCUAGUGGCGAACGGGUGAGUAACACGUGGGUAACCUGCCCAUCAGAGGGGGAUAACAUCCGGAAACGGAUGCUAAAACCGCAUAGGUCUUCGAGCCGCAUGGCUUGAAGAGGAAAAGAGGCGCAAGCUUCUGCUGAUGGAUGGACCCGCGGUGCAUUGGCUAGUUGGUGAGGUAACGGCUCACCAAGGCCGUGAUGCAUAGCCGACCUGAGAGGGUGAUCGGCCACAUUGGGACUGAGACACGGCCCAAACUCCUACGGGAGGCAGCAGUAGGGAAUCUUCCGCAAUGGACGCAAGUCUGACGGAGCAACGCCGCGUGAGUGAAGAAGGUUUUCGGAUCGUAAAACUCUGUUGUUAGAGAAGAACAAGUGCUAGAGUAACUGUUAGCGCCUUGACGGUAUCUAACCAGAAAGCCACGGCUAACUACGUG